This 253-nucleotide ribosomal RNA is filed under the name uncultured bacterium. Its description in RNAcentral is "partial 16S ribosomal RNA". It matches the Rfam family "Bacterial small subunit ribosomal RNA", at positions 524 to 776 of the family's 1533-position model. The record is from RNAcentral.
UACGGAGGGUGCGAGCGUUAAUCGGAAUAACUGGGCGUAAAGGGCACGCAGGCGGGCUUUUAAGUGAGGUGUGAAAUCCCCGGGCUUAACCUGGGAAUAGCAUUUCAGACUGGGAGUCUAGAGUACUUUAGGGAGGGGUAGAAUUCCACGUGUAGCGGUGAAAUGCGUAGAGAUGUGGAGGAAUUCCGAAGGCGAAGGCAGCCCCUUGCCAACGAACUGACCCUCAUGUUCGAAAGCUUGGGGAGCAAACAUG